Delitschia confertaspora ATCC 74209 is the source of this 115-nucleotide non-coding RNA. The record is from the annotation of a GenBank genome assembly. NCBI's taxonomy places the organism in Eukaryota, Fungi, Ascomycota, Dothideomycetes, Pleosporales, Delitschiaceae.
GCCCGCGUGGCGCAAUGGCUUAGCGCGCAGGACUUCUAUCAUCAGAAUAAACUUACGUUUGUUCUAAAAUGUAGAUGUUAUCCUGAGGUUGUGGGUUCGAGUCCCAUCGCGGGUG